Mastomys coucha (southern multimammate mouse) is the source of this 2435-nucleotide long non-coding RNA. RefSeq lists it as uncharacterized. The record is from RefSeq and is a predicted model, not a curated record. Lineage: Eukaryota; Metazoa; Chordata; Mammalia; Rodentia; Muridae. The transcript is spliced from 2 exons.
UUCUCUUCCUCACUCUUCUCUAAUAUAUAUAUAUAUAUACAUAUAUAUAUGUAUAUAUAUAUAUUUAAUAUAAAGAGAUAUAGUGAGCAGGGCCUUGUUAACCCAAAGGGAGGAGGAAGGGGGAGGGAUGGGAGAGGAGAGGGGGGAGGGGGAAUCUGCUCUCUUCUCCCCCCCUUGCUUUUCCCCCCUUGGAUUUUUGGGGGCUGGUGCAGUUUAAAGCAGAGAUUUUAAGGUGGAUUCUGCGAAAGUUGCGGGUCUGCUUUCAGACUUGAUGCAGACGCCACGAGUCGAAUGGUUUGUCUCCAAAGGGCAGUGCCUUCCUAUUGGUCAGUCGCCCCCUGACGUCACAGGCGCACCGCUUCUACUGGCGUGUGCGCUGCUUGCGGAGUUCUUCGCCUACCUUAAGCAACUACAAGCUCAGCCCAGAGCUGCAACCUGGGGCCGCUCAGAGCUAAAGGGGAGCAGCGGAGGAGGGAGGCGCCCGGUAGGCUGCAGAUGCAUCCCGUCGGAGCUCCAACCCCCGCAUCCUAGAGCCCUUGUUUCCAGGAUUGGAGACUCUGAGUAGCCUGGCUGGAGGCUGAUCUCUUUAAAUCCAUUUGCACCCUUUCAGGUUGCCUGUGUGCAGAAGCAGUAGCCCUAGCAUUUAAAGCCAGACCCCCCUCACUUGACUUUCCCCCUCCCUCAGGACCCCAACUCUCUACUCCCAAGGGAGCACCUUGGCACUGUGGGUUUUUCCAGAAGUACUUUAUUGAAGCCAUAGAGGGAAGAAAAACCCCUACAUCUGGGCUCCAUCUCAUAGCAGGGGUCGGGGAUAGUAAAAGAAAAAUCAGACCCUGCUCUGGCGAGGUUCCUGCUGUUUUCCUAUAGGCCCUAUCUCCUAUAUAUUGACCUCCCAACAGAGAAGGAAUAUCUCCCACCCCCCAAGAAAGCAGCAGCCUGUUCUGAAAGCGAAUCGUUGGAGGGCUGACAGUAAUGCAUUUUUUUUCCUAUUGAAAACAGAAGCUACUGUAAUGCUUUCAAAUAUAUGCAAAUGAUACAUGCGGUUAGUGGUUUGGCAAAUCUUGAUUACAAUAUAAACUACCCAAGUAAAAGUGCCUUCGUCCUAAAUUUGUCUCUCGAUUACAAUUCCAAUUGAUUUUAUUUUAUUGUCAACAUUGUUAAUGAUAAAAAUAGAGUCGUUUUACAGUUAUUUUUACUUUCUGGAAGGAGGCAAUUAGAGUUCUAAUCAGGAAUACACAAAAAUCUCCCAUGAUUAACUGCAGUACUUUGUUCAAAUUGCUGCUAUAAAAUUCAGAACAAUUUGCCUGUAAUGAUUAUGGACUGGGUUUAUUUUGGGAGGUGGAAUAAAAGUGGAUAUAGCAUAAAUUAUCCUCUAAUUAUACACCAGUGUCGCUUCAAUUAUCCUCUUAUCAAAAUGGUUGUCUAACUGCCGCAUUUAGUUUCAAUUCUUGCCUUUUUUUCUAUAAAAAGAACUUCAUACCUUGUUAUUAUUAAUCCAUUUAUUAUUUGCAAAGGGGUUUAUAUCCGCACAUCCAGGUGGUAGAACCACUUCUGUUUCAAAGAUGGACUGGGGAAAGACAUUAAGUUUGGAGCAGCUCAGUGCUACGGAUCUAGCCUUUCUCCCUCGGGUCUCCAGACUCACUUAGGUCCAAGCUGCGGAGCAGGGACAGCGGAACCCAGGCGGCCACGUUCAGGCCCAGCCACCAGAACCAGAGGGAAACCUACUCCCAGAAGACCAUCUCCCUGAUUGCUUUCCCACUGCUGUGGAGCCCCUCGAACACUGGUCCCCGGACACCAACUUCAAGAAGACUUCAUGGAUGGCUGUCCAGCCUUAGGAACCACAGUUUUCCCUCUACAUUUUCUUCACUCCAGUGAGGCUCUCAUCAGGGUCAGAUCAGUGAUGAACCAGCUGGACAACAGAUUGGAGCACUGACCUCUUAGAGUGCUAACAGUGAACAGUGUGGGAUCAGAUCCAUAGAAAGAUAAGGAGAAGAAAAUAUGCUAUGUGCAAGGGAGAGGGAUGGUUCUUAAUUCCUUAAAGGUUGAAAUCAAGGACCAAUCAAAAUAUAGAAGAAUGUGGUCUUGUUUUACUGCAGGACUUCUGUUUUGUCCAUACUGGAAUACGUAUUCUGGUGUUCCUGCUGGAUCAGGGCUCAGAGGCAAGACUAAGUAUUCUAGUGAUCCUCCUACUUAGCUUUUGUCCUUCAGUAAGAAACACCAACUCAUUAGUCUCUGUAUUACUUCUCUGCACUAUAGGUCUGCACUCUUGACCUGAGAGAUAUUGGCAAUGACUCUCUUGUAUGAUAAAGGUCAAUGAUAAGAGUACUUCAAACCCCCUCAAACUUUUUGUUUAUACACCAAGUGGUGACAUUGUGUAUUGAGCUAAUUAGAUCAAUGGAGUCACAAGUGAUACUGAACUCUUUAAAAAUAUUUGG